Molecule: transfer RNA, 66 nt
Filed under: marine eukaryotic metagenome
Rfam family: tRNA
About the family: Transfer RNA (tRNA) molecules are approximately 80 nucleotides in length. Their secondary structure includes four short double-helical elements and three loops (D, anti-codon, and T loops).
Source: RNAcentral
GGCGUAGCUCAGUUGGUAGAGCUCCGGCUUGUGAUGCCGGCGGUCGUGGGUUCAAACCCCAUCGUC